Molecule: long non-coding RNA, 524 nt
Filed under: Homo sapiens (human)
Lineage: Eukaryota; Metazoa; Chordata; Mammalia; Primates; Hominidae
Description: HSALNT0397686
Source: RNAcentral
CCGCUUCAGAUGCCAAUUGCAGGUCCCAGGAUGUGACCUGUGCUUCUGACCUACUGGCUAUAAAUCAAGGUUGCCAUGACCCCUCAAGUUUGAGUAUUUUGCUAGAGUGGUUCACAGAACUCUGAGAAACACUUUAUUUAUGUUUACCCAUUUAUUAUAAAGGAUAUUGACAAGGAUACAGAUUAACAGCCAGAAGGAAGAGAUGCAUAGGGCAAGAUAUGGGGGAGGGGUGCAGAGCUUCCAUGCCGUCUCUGGCUGCACCACCCUCCAGGAACCUUUACGUGUUCAAUAAUCCAGGAGCCCUCCAAACCCCUUAGUUUAGCAGUUUAGUUUAGUUUAGUAGUUUAGUUUUAGUUUAGUUUAGUUUAGUUUAGUUUAGUAGUUUAGUUUUAGUUUAGUUUAGUUUAGUUUAGUUUAUCCCAGUGUAGGGGUGGGUUGCCCCUACACACCUGUGGGUGUUUCUCAAAGAGGGGGAUGUGUCAGGGUCACAAGACAAUUGUGGGGAGAGGGUCAGCAGACAAACA